Mesocricetus auratus (golden hamster) is the source of this 1029-nucleotide long non-coding RNA. RefSeq lists it as uncharacterized. NCBI's taxonomy places the organism in Eukaryota, Metazoa, Chordata, Mammalia, Rodentia, Cricetidae. The transcript is spliced from 3 exons. The record is from RefSeq and is a predicted model, not a curated record.
GCUUGCAUACCUCCAAGUUGGAGAGCUCACUCCUUUCUCAGGCAGGCAGGCUGCCCUGUCCUGGCAGCAGGAACACUGGGAAAUACUUCCUGACCCUGGGUGGAAACUUGGCUCAGAGUUCACAGUCUCAGCAGCAGCUCACAAUCAGCACCUCUAGGGAGGGGGCCAGGCCUGAUGCAUUUCUUGGUUGUGCUGGCAGUGGAACCUGUUCUUGUACCUGCUAGAGACUCUUCAUCUAUAAAAUCUGAGUGAUCACAUCCACUAGAAGGCCAAAUGUCCACACGCAGAGAGCCAAGGAGUGCAACGUGCACAGCUGUGGAUGGCAAGGCACAUCUGCUGGGACAGUACUCAGGAUGGAAUAUCAAGGCGGGAGUACCAAGAGUUCAAGGCCAACCUGGGCUACGUGGUCAGCAAGAUUUAGGCUUCCGACUCCUUUUCAGAUGAGAACACAUGCCAAGCAGCCCAGAGUGGCUCGUCUACAGUCUACAGUGCCAAAGAUGGUACAUGUGUCCCUCAACGUUAUGGUACCCUAGUCUGGCAGCACUGCAGAAGAUUGGAAAAGGACAAGGGGCCAAAUGAGACUCAGUGCUAGCCAAUCAAUCCACAGAGACCUUGGACUCAAACCGAGGACCCAGCUCCCCUCUUUGUAGCCUGUGGGCUCAAGGAAACUGUGAGAUUACCCAUGAGGUCUCAAGAUUAUCUUUGUGUCACUUGGUACAUGUCGAAUCCAAACAGCACACAAUCUGAGCACAGGUUUAUCAUUCCCAUACCCUCUCCAUGGCUGAGCUCACCAUCAGGAUUCCCCAGCCUCAGACAACCACAGUGGGUGAACUCAAGGACAGGGCUAUCUAGGGCGACUUCUUACCUCUUGGUUAGCUUUCAGGAAAUUAAUUUCCCGUAUAAAAUUCAACUUAAAGUAAAUUAUUAGGAAGAGAAGCUCCACCUCCCUCCCCCAUCCAAAGGGAAAGCAUUUGCCCCCGCUUCAGCGUGUGAAUUAAAGAUCAAGGCUGCGGCCUGUCAUUAGUGUUA